GACGUAGGAGGCGAGCGUUAUCCGGAUUCAUUGGGCGUAAAGCGCACGUAGGCGGCUUUGCAAGUCGGACGUGAAAUCCCUCAGCUCAACUGAGGAAGUGCAUCCGAAACUGCAAGGCUUGAGUACUGAAGAGGAUCGCGGAAUUCCCGGUGUAGAGGUGAAAUUCGUAGAUAUCGGGAGGAACACCAGUGGCGAAGGCGGCGAUCUGGGCAGAUACUGACGCUGAGGUGCGAAAGCGUGGGGAGCAAACAGG
This 253-nucleotide ribosomal RNA is filed under the name uncultured bacterium. Its description in RNAcentral is "partial 16S ribosomal RNA". It matches the Rfam family "Bacterial small subunit ribosomal RNA", at positions 524 to 776 of the family's 1533-position model. The record is from RNAcentral.